RNAcentral lists this long non-coding RNA (282 nucleotides) under Olea europaea subsp. europaea. The record is from RNAcentral. Lineage: Eukaryota; Viridiplantae; Streptophyta; Magnoliopsida; Lamiales; Oleaceae.
AUUAAAAAGGAUCAGACGAUUGUGUAAGGGACGAAACCUCUUGAGACAAAGUCCCAAAAAGGGGUGUUCUUUUAUUGGCGAUGAACUUUACAAUUGGAAAUGGAAAACAACGUGCCUCCAAGGGGCGCAAGCACAUGAGUUACUGAAAGAAAAUUGUUUAAGUCUAAAAAACUAAGGAAAUGAAAAUUACAUGUUCUCUGUUCGAGAGUUUUUGGAUUCGGUCCUUUGCUUCUAUGUUCUUUCUCCCUUUUAUACUUCAUAGACGAUCUUUUUGUGAUUAAC